RNAcentral lists this ribosomal RNA (344 nucleotides) under uncultured bacterium. RNAcentral describes it as "bacterial SSU rRNA". It matches the Rfam family "Bacterial small subunit ribosomal RNA", at positions 167 to 507 of the family's 1533-position model. The record is from RNAcentral.
UACCCAAUGACGUCUCUAAGAAGACAUCUAGAAAGAGAAUUAAAGAUUUUAUCGGUGAUGGAUGGGGAUGCGUCUGAUUAGCUUGUUGGCGGGUAACGCCCACCAAGGCGACGAUCAGUAGGGGUUCUGAGAGGAAGGUCCCCCACAUUGGAACUGAGACACGGUCCAAACUCCUACGGGAGGCAGCAGUGAGGAAUAUUGGUCAAUGGACGAGAGUCUGAACCAGCCAAGUAGCGUGCAGGAAGACGGCCCUAUGGGUUGUAAACUGCUUUUAUAAGGGAAUAAAGUGAGUCUCGUGAGACUUUUUGCAUGUACCUUAUGAAUAAGGACCGGCUAAUUCCGUG